Molecule: ribosomal RNA, 498 nt
Filed under: uncultured bacterium
Lineage: Bacteria
Description: partial 16S ribosomal RNA
Rfam family: Bacterial small subunit ribosomal RNA
Source: RNAcentral
AUUGAACGCUGGCGGCAUGCUUUACACAUGCAAGUCGAACGGUAACAGGCCGCAAGGUGCUGACGAGUGGCGAACGGGUGAGUAAUGUAUCGGAACGUGCCCAGUCGUGGGGGAUAACGCAGCGAAAGCUGUGCUAAUACCGCAUACGAUCUAUGGAUGAAAGCGGGGGACCGUAAGGCCUCGCGCGAUUGGAGCGGCCGAUAUCAGAUUAGGUAGGGGGUGGGGUAAAGGCUCACCAAGCCGACGAGCUGUAGCUGGUCUGAGAGGACGACCAGCCACACUGGGACUGGGCACCGGCCCAGACCCCUCCGGGAGGCAGCAGUGGGGAAUUUUGGACAAUGGGCGCAAGCCUGAUCCAGCAAUGCCGCGUGCAGGACGAAGGCCUUCGGGUUGUAAACUGCUUUUGUACGGAGCGAAACGGCCCUCUCUAAUAAAGAGGGCUAAUGACGGUACCGUAAGAAUAAGCACCGGCUAACUACGUGCCAGCCGCCGCGGUAA